Long non-coding RNA from Columba livia (rock pigeon), 10119 nucleotides. RefSeq lists it as uncharacterized. The record is from RefSeq and is a predicted model, not a curated record. NCBI's taxonomy places the organism in Eukaryota, Metazoa, Chordata, Aves, Columbiformes, Columbidae. The transcript has 4 exons.
GGGCCAAAAAUAAAAAAAAUCCCCUCCUGUUUUCCACGCGGGGAGCAAUCCCGCUGCUCUCAGGGCACCGACGCCCCGCCCGGCCGGGAGCCCCAUCCCUGCGUCCCCGAGCUCCCCGCCGGCUCCUCUCCACCACCACGGGUAUUAAAUUCAGUGAUCUAACGCACAGCAUUCUGCAAAUGAGUCUGAAUUGCCAAAAUGCGAAGGGGACAAGUCCACUCUGAAAUACGGUCCCUAAAAAGCAAAUGCAAAGCGGUUUUAUAGACUACACCUGCCUCUUGGCAGUCUGCCCGGCCAUCUUCUUUGAAAAGCUGUCUCCUGGAUUACUACUGCUACCAUCAUCACCGAGACAACGAUGCUGGUUUCCAAAGCAGCUCCUGACUUAGACUACCUGCUGUCCAGGGGAAGGCCUUUCCCAUCCUUGCUGCAAACUGAAAUUUGAGUUCCAGGUUUUGAACAAGAUCAAAAGGAGGCUCUGCAGUUCCCGACAUGCACCAUCAUGAGUAUGUUUGUGCUUGCCACUUGGCACUGUCUUAUAAACAAGGUAAUGAUUUGAUAAAACAUUAAUUUAAAGGGCCGAGGAAGUGCCAUGCUACUGUCCAUCCAGACUUUGUCUAGGAGAACAACCACAUAAGGAGCGUCACCUGUGGGAGAACAGAACUUACUGCCUGAGAAAAAAACGGGAAGAAAACAGUUAAAACAAUGUCUGUUUCUCGCUCGUACCACAUUUUGGUUUCUGACUCACCUCAGACCUGGUUCCACUGGAAAACUUCCAUGUAUUCGAUAAAAACAGAAUUUGAAACUCUGUUCUGGUAAGAAUACGAUAAAAAAAAAAAAUCAAAUUAAUUUUAAAAGCCAUCAGAUUCAUUUCUCUUCUGGCUUGAGUUAAAGCUUGGGGUGUGGAGGAGGGGGAAAAAAUAGCUCCUGUAAUUGAGCUCUUCAGGGUAGCACUCAAAGCUAUGUUCUGCCUACUCACAGAGGUUGAGUAUGACAAGCUUUCAUUGCCCCACAGGGAGAGGAAUCAGCAUGAUCAGGAAGUCAGAAGGCAUCCUGAAUUAUCAAGAAAACUUGUUUUGGGGUGGGGUGGGAAGGACAGAGGAAGAAACAAACUGGUUGGCCAGGUUGAGAGAAAUGCCCAGCAUCUGACGUAUGGAAAACCACUGCCAUCUGUGACCACAAAAAAUAAAAAAAAAAAAAAAAAAAAAGAAAGAUCAAGGAUUUGAGGAACGUAAAGGCUUAAAUCACAAUGGGUAAACAGCUGUAUCAGAGAGGAGACCUCAAGGACAAAUGUCUCCAUCACAGUGCUAAAAGAUGUGAAACAUGUGGAGAAUCAGAUGCAGGUAGAUGGAUGUCCAAAGCAGACUAGAUUGUGUAGCAUGUUUCAGACACACAGACAGCAUCUGCAGGUUGGUGCUGAAAAAAAAUGGUAGUCAAAAUACAAAGAAUGGAAAGUAGUCCAUGGAUGUUGGGGAGAAAAAGGUCAAUUCAUUUAGCUGCUGUUAAUCUCUACCAGUCACAGCUAUGAAGGGACAGACUCUCUUCACACUGAUGUCACCUUCCAGGUCUCAGCCUUCAAUUCCUGCUUCCUGGAGGUUGGCUCCAAACAGAAAACUGUUACAAAUAAUUUAUGUCUGAUGAGAGCAUCCAAUGUCAAUGCACAAAUCUCUCUGUGUUAAUAAACUAGCAAAGUGGCAUGAGAAGCUAUUCUAAUUAUGCGUGUCUAAUAUGUGGAGAAAAACACAGCUGCUCUUAACUCCUCACAUAAAACUGUGAAUCAAAUGCCAUAUGUCAGACCUGGGCUUCCUCCUAGAAGGAAUGGCCAAAAGCUUGCUCUCCAAGGUAAAACUGAUGCGCUAUGGUAUGGUUCAGCUGAAGAACUCAAUCUCUUCGGAGAUGCACAAUUACAGGAAGAACCUUCCCUCACUAAACAGGGAGCAAAGGAUGCUCUAAUCUCUUCCCUCUUGCAGACCAGGUAGAAAAGUCUAUGAAAUGAAUGCAAGGCAGAGAGGGAUGUUUAUGCAUUACAAAAGGUAACUUCAGAAGGUCAGGUCAAUAAACCUGAAGUACAUCAAUAAGCCACUUUACAUUUUAAUAGCCCUUACCCAAAGUAGACUAUUUCAUUUGGAUAGUUUGCUAUCAGAAGGCCAACAGUUCAGCUGCAUCACAUAAACAGCAACCCAAUUAGAGUCACCUGAGCAAUGCAUAGAUACUGUUUAAAUAACUCUCCGAAGAAAUGUAAAUGGUCUUAAAAUGGUACCCUUUGUAAUUGCAAAGGAGAUCCUUGGGUGACCACCAAAGAGAUGAAAGGUGAAAGACACAGCUCUUUACCCACAAAAUCUGCUUCCUUGCCCUUCAAAAUGCAAUUAUAUUGCUUUUAAUGCUUUGGCAUGUUCUUAGUGCUUUUUUUCUUUCAGCUCUGCAAUGAGAUCAGGCUACAGGAAGAAAAGAACUCUGUUAACAUUGCAGUCUCUUAAGGACUGUUUUUAUUAUUCUUGAUUUAUUUCUGACCUCCUGAUUUUUUCUGCUUGACCUUUACAUGAAGACAAGGAAAAUAGUACAUUUCAUCUGCCAGUUCAGUGCAUUUUCUUUUCUUCACUUGCAGAAUUAUAGGGUUUUAAGUGAACGUCAGUUAUUUUGCCCGCAGGCUUUCACUUCACAGCACGAGUAUAUCUGACCUUUUCUUUCCUCGCUGGUAAUAGCUUUGCUUAAGUAAGGGAAUGUUUACCAAGCAAAACCAACACAGCCACUCAGAGUUGUGCUGAAUGACAACGUUUCAGAAGUCAGCUUCCCCUGAGACUCAAAGUUGGUGACCAAUAGUCAGGCAUGUUCCUAGUGCAUUUGGCUUGUUUACCAAACCUGCACAUUUCCCACCAUAGUUCCUUUGAACCAUGAUAAUAAACGGCACACAAGCACCUUCCUAAUUGUGGGUUGCCUCCUGCCCAGAAACUGUUGCUUUCUUUCACCUUCCUUCACCACCAACUCACUCUACAGCUCUAAGCGUGUGGUUCCAAGGCUAAUGCAGAUACUUGAGUGCUAAAUCUACCCAUCUACUGAACCAGAGAGAGACAGAAAGAUAUUAAGGUUUGAGAACCUCAUUUAUUAGCAUGAGGGCUAUGUUGGCAACCUUGAUGGCUGCAGUGUGCAAACCAUUAGGAUCUCCUGCCCAAAUGAUAACAUUUCCAGUCAGUCUUUAGAAACAGCAGCAUCGUUUUCCUAUUCGUACAACUGUGACAACAGGAACUGAAGUCCCAGUUAAAUUAAUGUAGCUGGUAUCUACAGACUAAUAAAAAUUUCCUUAUAAACAAAUUCAAAUGUCUACAAUUUCCCCCACAUAUUCAGAACCUAAACAAUGUUUUCCUUUACUCAAAACAAGACAUUGAACUCUCAAAAUGGCAAUUCCACCUAAAAGGUAUUAUUUGUCAUAUAGACUUUAAAGAAAGACUUGUAUUUUGUUAUUAAAGAUAGUAUUUAAAAAUAUUUCCCACUACAUGUCUCUUUUCAGAGCUUAGGAAAGACUGUUGGUUCAGCCCAUUGCUCUAUUCCCACCCCAUAUGCUGGUACUGAAAUGCCUUUUGCAGCCUCCUCCACACAGAAUAACUGGGUCCCUCUAACAGUAGUUAAAACAGUACAAGAUAUUCCAAACCUCUCCAAGCACAGGUGCAGUAGUGCUGGCACAAAUGUGCCACAUAACAGCGUGGCUAAGAACAUGAAAAAAGCCACAGCGGAUGUAAAAUGGCAUUUAGUAUAAUGUCCUAUAUCUGACAGUAGCCGGCAAUGGAUACCAGCAGAGAGUGAAAGAGCAUGGAAAGCUCAGACUAACAUUCUGCAAUAUUUCAUACCAGUUUCCAGGGAUUCGUGUAUGACGGACAAUUUGAACCACAGUGGGUAUCUUUGUACAUGUUAACUCUCAAAGCAUUUUUCAUCCAUGAACAUUCACAGCCCACUUCUGAAGCUCUGAGAACUUCUGGACCUCGUGACAUACUGCGGUCAAAGAUUGCACAGCUAAAACAUGUAGCAGCCUGUGAAGACAUUAUCUCCUGUUUGUUUUGAACCUGGCACCUGAUGGCUUCAUGACACACUCACCUGCUUUGGUAAUGGAAGAAACAGAGAAAAACGGUUUCAUGUUGGCUUUUUGCUUCCUACUUUGAAUUUUACUGACAUCUAUUAUAACCCUCGUCAUCCAUCAUCUUCUUGCACACUGCAAAACCAUACCCUUCUGCUUCUGGUAAAGAAGUCUCAUAAGGAAGGGAAGAGGCACCUUUCUACCAAUAAAAAUAUGCUGAGUUAAUUAUUUCAUCAGAUUUCUCAGGUUAUAAGCAGUAGUUAGUGCCAGCUACUUUGCAUUAACUGCUUAUUUACAUGCCACUUAUCUGUGGUAAACACGAGGUACAUCAUCCUUUAGGGAAAGUGAAUCAUCACUAAAGCAGAGAUAAAAUUUAUCAUAUAGUAAGAACAUGUACCCAGGCAGGUAGUAAGGAGCAGCUUACACCCACGUGGUAGAUUAGCGUCUUACUUUACCCAUCAGUACCCAGACCUCGUCCAGCUGAAGGGGCCUCAUUUGGAGAUGCUGUGGUAUCAUCUGGUCAAACAGCACACUGACACCCCAACCAUCCAAACCACUUCAGCCUCUGCUGCCUCUUCUCCUCUGCACUAAAGCUCCCUUCACAAUUAGGAAGGCAGGAUGACACGCUUGACAACAAUCUAGUAAGAAGGAGAAGAGGAAUAUGGCAGAGCCUGCUUGGGGAGAGAAGCCAGGUUUCCUAAAAUAAACAAAAAUUUCUCAGGCACCACCCAGACUGGUUUGUCGACAACAAAAGCUAUGCAAAUAAGGAUAGUUUGGAGUUAUAUACUGAAACCUUGACUGAGAUCAGAUAAAAAUAUUUCCUCCUAAUCACAGUCUUCAUGGAAUAGUGGAGUAAAUGGUUGCACCAUAAAUGUGUGGCAAACAAAAUCCACUAUCAAUUUUGCAGACUGCAUCUCUUUCUGUUAAAAUACACAUCUUUGUACAAAGGAGGAACCAGCAUUCUCUUUUAAAUACCCUCAGGGAUUAAUUAUUUUACAACAAAUCACUGGCCCUCCUAUUAUGUGUGUUUCAAUUCAUCACAAGUGCAUCUAUCAAAAGCCCAUCUUGUCUGUUUUCUGUUUGUCACACUGACCUGACCAUUACAUUCCCUUUCUGCCACUAACUUCUCUCUUUCACAGGAGGCUGAAGUAAACCAAUUCUAGAGUCAUCUACAAUGUUACAGAAAAAGAGCACUAAUGAAUGAAGGGCAAGGUCACCUAAUGCUGUGAAAUUCCUGCUAGAAGAUAAACCCAUAUGAUCUUUAAGUAUCAUUCUUGCCAUUUCUCCAGCAUAAGGCAGCUCUCUCCCCACUUCCUUUGUCUGUCCUGAGGAACAGAAAAUUCAGUGCUUUCAACAGCAACAGCCCUCAGAAAGCACUUCCCAUGUUAAUCCUAAAUAAAGUGGACUUUUCCAGUCAUCCCAAGAGACAGCAUUCCUCAUGUCAGUCUUCUAUGUUUUUUGAAGGUUUUCUUAAGUGAUUUACUGCAACUAUUAAAACGUUAAGCUAGAUAAUCCGGCAGUGUUCAACCAUGUGGUCAUGAGUCGUUAGGUUAUGUAGUAAAUCAGGCCAAGCACUUCUUGUAGGAAUACACCUGCAUGCUAAUUUUAAAAUUGUGUCUCCACACUUCCGAAUUUAUGAACCUAUGAGACAUUUCCCAUUAAUGCUUUGCAAGCACAGCCUACCCACAGGGUAGCUCAGUACAGAUCAGAUGCUGUACACAUCAGAAGAAGUGAUGUGGUAAGGGCAACUUACAACCUUAAAUAUGAUUAUCAGUCCACACCAGCAGCUAAUUGAAGUUCUCUUAUCUUUCCCAUUCUUAGUGUUCAUACAGAAUACCACCUGCUAGGCCACUAGAGUCAUAUAGUUUGGUGUCACAGAAAUGCAGAAAGGAAGGGACUUUAAGAGAUCUUACAACCAACCAAUGAAAACCCUUCUGAUGGUUUUGCUAAGCUUUUUCUUGACCCCAAGGGGACUAGGUAAAUUAAGUCAAUCCGAUGUUCAUCCUCAUCUCAUUUUACUAUCUCCUGAAUGACACUUAGAUUACACUACUUAGAAUAACUCACUUACACGGUUUUACAAAUCCUCUGUAAUUUAUACAAGCUUGAAGGAUGUCUAGGAAAUUCAGGGCCAGUCUAUUCUACAUUUCUUUCAGGUAAUUACAUCAGUUCUUUGGAAACACUGACAUCACUGCAGAUUGAUUGCUCAGAGAUACUGGUAUAAGGAGAGGCAUUGAAGGAACUGGAAGAGGAAUAUCCUGCAUUUGCCUUUGAGGCCACAAAAACAGCAGCGGGAAGGAAGAAUGUCACAUGAAAGCACGUCUCCUCCAGACAUCAUCUAUCCAGAUGACAAAAGAAAUUUAAAAUAAAUGUUUAUACCACAGGAAACAACAGGAAAACAGGAACUCUGCUGCAUAAUGUCAGGGAAGCAAAUGCACAUUUCAGAAGAAGGCUCUAAUUACAGGUUUUUAGCUAUUUGAAGUCACCUUAAGCUUGUAGCGUAGCAGAAGCAGAGGAUUACAUAGUUGUCAGUUCAAAAGAUACAUUGCAUCUAGGCUUUUUGUUUUGCUUUCUCUGCUUCUUUAGAGUGUGCCAGCAGCUACCUAGUGUGUCUACAAAUAAAGUAGUUUUUCCUGGCACCUUUAUCCAAGUUAGACGUUUUGAAUGGCUUUCAGAUGCAUAGCUUAGAUGUGCUUUAAGUGCCAACAACCAUAUCCAUACUCCAAACUUUUGCUGCUUCUUUAAUGUUAUCUUCUCACAGAAGUUUCCACUCCCAUCAUGCUCAUGACUAGAACUAUACUCUUCUAGUAUGAAAUUCCCUGAUGUAUGCAUGUGCAUUUACUGUAUAUUACUUUACUUUAUCAAAGUCUAAUUUUUUAAUACUCGCUUUUUCAGCACAAUAGCUGAGCAGGCUGUUUAUUUCGAAGACCCCCCCAAGUAUAAUCAGAGCUUUUUUUUUUUUUUUUUUACUUAAAUGGUAUUUGGGCACUCAGAAAGCACACCACUCCCAUCAAAAUUAAUUCAAAGUAGGCACAGCACCGAUGUCUAGACAGUUUAAAUGCCAGUGUAUUUUUUUCUUGUAAAUUAAGCUUUUCUAAAGGCCUACAGACAGAAAAAAGUUCCUGAAGAGUCUCCCUCCUUGCCUGUUCACUUCAGCAUUAACCAUUUGUGUUCACCAACAGGUCCAUCAUUCCAGGAUGGAGUAACUGCUGGGAGCUGUAACAGCCUGAGGUGAGACAGUCUGGUAAACCUGACCAAUGCUACCGAUGCCAAAUUGCUGGGGGGGUGGGGGGGGGGGGCGGGGGGGAAGUAAUUUCUUUAGAUAUAUUAUGCUGCCAUAGUCAAGCCAGGUUCAUAUUUUUCUUAAAAAGGCUUUUCAUAUGGUAAGAACUACUCAAGAAAGAGGAACAAGAUGAUACAGAGAAUUAGUAACAAAUGACCCAAAAUGUGAAGUAAGUGACAUAAACCUCUUCGAACUAACCCUUUUAAUGUUCAGCCUCUGAGCCAGCUUCUCUUCAUCCAGACAGAAAAGGUCUGAAGGAGGCAAUGCUCCUUCUCCUGCCAGCACACAAAGUUGGGUGUCACCUUCAUACCCCUGGCAUCCUGAGUCCGUGACAGCCUAUGAUUUCCUCUUUCAGGUCCCCAGGGGUGCCAAACAGGAUGCAAGAGUCCUGCUUUGUGUGGGCAGGGACAUCCGAGUGUGUACACCUGGAGCGUGUACUGCUCUGAAAGUCAGACUGCUUCUGUCAGCACAUAUUCAAAGUGAACAGAUGAAUCUGUGUGUGUCAGUAUUUUAUACAUCAAGGCAGGAAGCAGGAAAUUCUGCCUCAGAAGUAGAUCUGUCAAUAUUUCCUGAAAUCUUUGGCUAUAAUGAAGUCUUGUACUUGUCCUGGGUUUUCAGAGGCCACUAGUAAUUUGUCCCUUUGAACUAAAAAGAAGGCAAGAAUUACAUUGUUAGACUUUAAAUGGAUUUUUUUUCUCUUUUUGUUCUUUGGAAGUUUUAUUACAGAACCUCUCUCCUUUUCUACCAUCUGACUAACAGGAAAUCAAAGGAUUCUAAAAUGAAAAACAUCUGAUUGUAGGAAUGAAGCAAUUAGUUUGCAUCGAUAACGACAGCAUAUUAUUACUGACAAAAGUAUGUCUGCAACCUUGGAUCCUUAAAUAGAACAUUGAAAAACAAAUGGACGCCACUCAGGGCUAAGAUCCAUGCCAGCUUAAUGCAAGAAAGCAAUGGCAAGCUAACUGAUACUAGCUUUACUUAUUACGCUAGUUUAACAUACUUGCUCUUUGCCCUUGGAACAUUUUAUUGCAUAUUUUAAUUACAUCACAAGUAAACACUUCAAAAGUGUUUUAAAAAGUGGAAAUAAUCAGGUAAAGGAACUGUCAUGUCUAUUAGGCUUAAUAUUUUCAUUUAAUGGUAUGGCAUAACCAGGAGGCCACCUUGUCUUGCACAUGAAAUACAUAAAAAUAGCAAUGUUAUUUGCUAUAAUGGGCUGUAGAACAUACUAAAUAUCUUCCAACAAAGAAACCAUUAGAAGCCAUUAAUAUGGAUUUUGAGAAACAUUGUUAGUUGUAGACUUAAUGAAACAUUUUGAAAUUAUGUUGGGGAGGUCAUUAGAAUUAAGGCUGUUUUAGACUUGUGUGGCAGCAGAGUUAUGAGGUGGUUCUGGGCCUCACUUCUCUUUGUGCAAGGCUGCUGAGCUCCAGUUUCAGAGUCAAAGUUAAAAAAAAAAAGCAAGCUAAUUCUUGCCAUGCUGACUCUCAUAAGUCUCUGGAUAAGUCUUACAUGAUCUUUGACAUAGGAAUUAGGCUGCAAAACUCUCACACAGAAGCCAAGAAUCAAAACUGUGUUUUGCUUGGAAUUGUUUUUCAGCUCCCAGGAAUUUAUAAGGGUUCAUACACAAGAGUAACAAAACAGCAGUGGGAGCUCUGCAGUUAAGUCACUUUCCUUAGCAAACCAGUGAGAAAUAACAGAGUGGCCUUGGUCUUUGAUGUUUCAAUAAAACCUCCAAAAACAUUCCCUCUGGCCAUAUUAAGUGGCCUUGGUAUAAUCGAGGCCCAAUAAUAUCUGUUUGUUUAACCAACAUUAUGAGAGAUCUCCAUGCGACAGGCCAAAAUAUGUUGGUCUGCUCAGCUGAAUUCAUUACUGGGAAUAAGUAGCAAUAGAGUUGAUGGAAAUUUUUUUACAUGUACAGGGGAAGCGUAGGAAAAAGAGAGGAGAUCAUUUUAUUCUUUGCCUUGAUACAUCAUCUACUCCAUCACUUUUUUCCUCAUCUAAUAGAGUAGCAUCUCUGCUUUCCUAAUGGAGUAACUCAGGGCUCUCUCCUGUCACAAGACCGGUGAUUCUGAGUUUCUCCUCUGUCACCUAUCACUCUAGAAUAUACAGUAAUGUAACAUAUAAAUAUAAUGAUAGAUAAUAAUAUGGAGUAGAAUAUAUAUAUAUGCAUAAAAUCCAAGUUUUCAGUCCUGUCUAAUUAUGACUUCAUCCAAAUUACUUGAGACCAUUUUCCUGGACACCAUGGAUAUCCCAUCCUCUCCCCCACCUAAUAAUUUCCUCUUGACUGGCACUUGGUUUUUCUCUUCAAACUUGGCAGAGAUUGCCAGGCUCUUUUCCUUCAGACCAGCUUUCACACUGGGCUCUAGCACCUUCUGGAAGAGGAAGGGCUGGGAAGGCGACAAACAAAGCUGGGCCAGACCUCUCCCACCACCUCUGGUAUCUGUAGGGGUGUGCACCAAAUGUAACAGCUGUAGGAAAGGAAAAGGAAAAGAAAGGCACGGAGGAAAGAGAGAGAUAAGGAGAAGCUGUUGUGCAAUGGAUCACAGGAUGUAAACAUGCAGGUGUGCAAACUGCUAAGACUAAGUGCUUGAAGGCAAGAGGACUAGUUGGAGGCAUCGGGAUAAAACUGGGCUGAGUGAAGUGUCAUCUCUGCACAGAGACCUAACUGAACAGCUCUAUAUAAAAAUAACAACCUGCCUUGCCAGCCACAUUCUCCCUUUGGCCCCCAGCUGUUUCCACUUCCUUAACAUAUGUUGAACCAAAUAAAGUGUUUACUAAUUUC